Molecule: long non-coding RNA, 1041 nt
Filed under: Felis catus (domestic cat)
Lineage: Eukaryota; Metazoa; Chordata; Mammalia; Carnivora; Felidae
Description: lncRNA (ENSFCAG00000050506.1)
Rfam family: mir-223 microRNA precursor family (bases 268-373)
Source: RNAcentral
CUUCCUCAUUUAUGUUUCCUCUUGAAGACAUCAAGGACCCUUCAAAACACACGACGUUCCUGCCCCAGGCAAAAAGCCCAGUUACCUCUGGCCACUGCAGUUUGGCUCAUCAUCAGGGAACCUUUGCCUCCUCCAAGACCAAGGCACCACUCCAGUAACAGGAGCCAACUGAAGCUUGGAACUCCAAGGAAUGCUAAAGCUAUAGCCCGAGGACCUCUGGGGCCAUAUCUCCCAGGAAGAUCUUGCCUCCUCACUGAAGCUCCUGGCCUGGCCUCCUGCAGUGCCACACUCCGUGUAUUUGACAAGCUGAGUUGGACACUCCAUGUGGUAGAGUGUCAGUUUGUCAAAUACCCCAAGUGCGGCAUAUGCCUAACAGCUCCAAGCCAGGGCAGUUGGGAUACAACAAACAAAUUGCCAGCUGAAUACAAGAUCACUCUCCAAACACAAACUAAACUUUCACAAGUUAUUUUCAGUGACUUGAGGGAACUGAAGCAUUGUAUCUGAGGGUGCCAGGGGAAAAGUGAGGCAAUUCUUGAAGCCACAGAUCUGGAAUGUUUCUACACACAUUGUCAGAGCCCAAGCAGGACAUAAUGGUCUUGAAAAGGUAUAUGGAAUCCAGGGAUGGAAGUGCUCUUUGAUUUGUAUUUUUUUUCUUCACAUUCCUCUUACAGAGUCUCCUAGAAAGGACACCAGAAUUCUCACACAAGCUUCAUGAUAGGGCUUAGAAACCCACUUUCCUGACACUCAGCCUUGGCUUCUAGACACACUUUGACCUUAUCUUUCUCUUCUUCUUCAUGCCUUUUCUCCUUCUGGUAAUACUUUAUCUAUUUUUUUCUGCCUACUCAAUUAUUUCUCAUACUUCUGGCUCAGAAAAAUUCCAGUCUCUCCAAGGACUUUUGAAAGUCAACCUACACUUUUUUUCUUCUUCAUUUGAAGAACACACCUUGCCUUAGCCCUUGUAUGUACCCAUUUCUUCUAUUGUCCAAUGGAACCUCUUGAAUUAUUAAUAAACUUUUGCAGUGGAUAUUUUUAAUUCCCCCC